RNAcentral lists this microRNA precursor (76 nucleotides) under Bombyx mori (domestic silkworm). RNAcentral's name for it is "mir-2807 microRNA precursor family". It matches the Rfam family "mir-2807 microRNA precursor family". Lineage: Eukaryota; Metazoa; Arthropoda; Insecta; Lepidoptera; Bombycidae. The record is from Rfam by way of RNAcentral.
UUAACUCAGAUUUGUAUGGAGUUUGCUUACGUUUGCCGUUAGGGGCGCUGUUCUAACUCCAUACAAAUUUGAGUUA